UACGUAGGGGGCUAGCGUUGUCCGGAAUCAUUGGGCGUAAAGAGCGUGUAGGCGGCUAGGUAGGUCCGUUGUGAAAACUCGAGGCUCAACCUCGAGACGCCGAUGGAAACCAUCUGGCUAGAGUCCGGAAGAGGAGAGUGGAAUUCCUGGUGUAGCGGUGAAAUGCGCAGAUAUCAGGAAGAACACCCGUGGCUAAGGCGGCUCUCUAGUACGGUACUGACGCUGAGACGCGAAAGCGUGGGGAGCGAACAGG
RNAcentral lists this ribosomal RNA (253 nucleotides) under uncultured bacterium. Its description in RNAcentral is "partial 16S ribosomal RNA". It matches the Rfam family "Bacterial small subunit ribosomal RNA", at positions 524 to 776 of the family's 1533-position model. The record is from RNAcentral.